This 492-nucleotide ribosomal RNA is filed under the name uncultured bacterium. Its description in RNAcentral is "partial 16S ribosomal RNA". It matches the Rfam family "Bacterial small subunit ribosomal RNA", at positions 29 to 507 of the family's 1533-position model. The record is from RNAcentral.
AGUGAACGCUGGCGGUAGGCCUAACACAUGCAAGUCGAACGGCAGCACAGUAAGAGCUUGCUCUUACGGGUGGCGAGUGGCGGACGGGAGAGGAAUACAUCGGAAUCUACUUUUUCGUGGGGGAUAACGUAGGGAAACUUACGCUAAUACCGCAUACGAUCUACGGUUGAAAGCAGUGGAUCUUCGCACCUUGCGCGAUUGAAUGAGCCGAUGUCGGAUUAGCUAGUUGGGGGGGUAAAGGCCCACCAAGGCGACGAUCCGUAGCUGGUCUGAGAGGAUGAUCAGCCACACUGGAACUGGAACACGGUCCAGACUCCUACGGGAGGCAGCAGUGGGGAAUAUUGGACAACAGGCGCAAGCCUGAUCCAGCCAUACGGCGUGGGUGAAGAAGGCCUUCGGGUUGUAAAGCCCUUUUGUUGGGAAGGAAAAGCAGCAGGUUGAUACCCCGCUGUUCUGACGGUACCCGAAGAAUAAGCACCGGCUAACUUCGUG